UACAGAGGUCUCAAGCGUUGUUCGGAUUCAUUGGGCGUAAAGGGUGCGUAGGCGGCGCGGUAAGUCGGGUGUGAAAUCUUGGAGCUUAACUCCGAAACUGCAUUCGAUACUGCCGUGCUUGAGGACUGGAGAGGAGACUGGAAUUUACGGUGUAGCGGUGAAAUGCGUAGAUAUCGUAAGGAAGACCAGUGGCGAAGGCGGGUCUCUGGACAGUUCCUGACGCUGAGGCACGAAGGCCGGGGAGCAAACGGG
This 252-nucleotide ribosomal RNA is filed under the name uncultured bacterium. RNAcentral describes it as "partial 16S ribosomal RNA". It matches the Rfam family "Bacterial small subunit ribosomal RNA", at positions 524 to 776 of the family's 1533-position model. The record is from RNAcentral.